This 3323-nucleotide ribosomal RNA is filed under the name Salmonella enterica subsp. enterica serovar Paratyphi A. RNAcentral describes it as "23S ribosomal RNA". The record is from RNAcentral. Lineage: Bacteria; Pseudomonadati; Pseudomonadota; Gammaproteobacteria; Enterobacterales; Enterobacteriaceae.
AUUUGAUGCCUGGCAGUUCCCUACUCUCGCAUGGGGAGACCCCACACUACCAUCGGCGCUACGGCGUUUCACUUCUGAGUUCGGCAUGGGGUCAGGUGGGACCACCGCGCUACUGCCGCCAGNNNNNNNNNNNNNNNNNNNNUCAGGUGGGACCACCGCGCUACUGCCGCCAGGCAAAUUCUGUUAUCAGACCGUUUUUACGUUCUGAUGUAAUCUGAAUCAGUGCUGAAAAUCGUCUCUCAUCCGCCAAAACAUCUUCGGCGUUGUAAGGUUAAGCCUCACGGUUCAUUAGUACCGGUUAGCUCAACGCAUCGCUGCGCUUACACACCCGGCCUAUCAACGUCGUCGUCUUCAACGUUCCUUCAGGAGACCUAAAGUCUCAGGGAGAACUCAUCUCGGGGCAAGUUUCGUGCUUAGAUGCUUUCAGCACUUAUCUCUUCCGCAUUUAGCUACCGGGCAGUGCCAUUGGCAUGACAACCCGAACACCAGUGAUGCGUCCACUCCGGUCCUCUCGUACUAGGAGCAGCCCCCCUCAGUUCUCCAGCGCCCACGGCAGAUAGGGACCGAACUGUCUCACGACGUUCUAAACCCAGCUCGCGUACCACUUUAAAUGGCGAACAGCCAUACCCUUGGGACCUACUUCAGCCCCAGGAUGUGAUGAGCCGACAUCGAGGUGCCAAACACCGCCGUCGAUAUGAACUCUUGGGCGGUAUCAGCCUGUUAUCCCCGGAGUACCUUUUAUCCGUUGAGCGAUGGCCCUUCCAUUCAGAACCACCGGAUCACUAUGACCUGCUUUCGCACCUGCUCGCGCCGUCACGCUCGCAGUCAAGCUGGCUUAUGCCAUUGCACUAACCUCCUGAUGUCCGACCAGGAUUAGCCAACCUUCGUGCUCCUCCGUUACUCUUUAGGAGGAGACCGCCCCAGUCAAACUACCCACCAGACACUGUCCGCAACCCGGGUAACGGGUCCACGUUAGAACAUCAAACAUUAAAGGGUGGUAUUUCAAGGUCGGCUCCAUGCAGACUGGCGUCCACACUUCAAAGCCUCCCACCUAUCCUACACAUCAAGGCUCAAUGUUCAGUGUCAAGCUAUAGUAAAGGUUCACGGGGUCUUUCCGUCUUGCCGCGGGUACACUGCAUCUUCACAGCGAGUUCAAUUUCACUGAGUCUCGGGUGGAGACAGCCUGGCCAUCAUUACGCCAUUCGUGCAGGUCGGAACUUACCCGACAAGGAAUUUCGCUACCUUAGGACCGUUAUAGUUACGGCCGCCGUUUACCGGGGCUUCGAUCAGGAGCUUCGCUUGCGCUGACCCCAUCAAUUAACCUUCCGGCACCGGGCAGGCGUCACACCGUAUACGUCCACUUUCGUGUUUGCACAGUGCUGUGUUUUUAAUAAACAGUUGCAGCCAGCUGGUAUCUUCGACUGACUUCAGCUCCAUGAGUAAAUCACUUCACCUACGUGUCAGCGUGCCUUCUCCCGAAGUUACGGCACCAUUUUGCCUAGUUCCUUCACCCGAGUUCUCUCAAGCGCCUUGGUAUUCUCUACCUGACCACCUGUGUCGGUUUGGGGUACGAUUUGAUGUUACCUGAUGCUUAGAGGCUUUUCCUGGAAGCAGGGCAUUUGUUGCUUCAGCACCGUAGUGCCUCGUCGUCACGCCUCAGUGUUAAAGUGAACCGGAUUUACCUGGAACACACACCUACACGCUUAAACCGGGACAACCGUCGCCCGGCCAACAUAGCCUUCUCCGUCCCCCCNNNNNNNNNNNNNNNNNNNNCCCCCCUUCGCAGUAACACCAAGUACGGGAAUAUUAACCCGUUUCCCAUCGACUACGCCUUUCGGCCUCGCCUUAGGGGUCGACUCACCCUGCCCCGAUUAACGUUGGACAGGAACCCUUGGUCUUCCGGCGAGCGGGCUUUUCACCCGCUUUAUCGUUACUUAUGUCAGCAUUCGCACUUCUGAUACCUCCAGCAACCCUCACAGGCCACCUUCACAGGCUUACAGAACGCUCCCCUACCCAACAACACCUGAGUGUCGCUGCCGCAGCUUCGGUGCAUGGUUUAGCCCCGUUACAUCUUCCGCGCAGGCCGACUCGACCAGUGAGCUAUUACGCUUUCUUUAAAUGAUGGCUGCUUCUAAGCCAACAUCCUGGCUGUCUGGGCCUUCCCACAUCGUUUCCCACUUAACCAUGACUUUGGGACCUUAGCUGGCGGUCUGGGUUGUUUCCCUCUUCACGACGGACGUUAGCACCCGCCGUGUGUCUCCCGUGAUAACAUUCUCCGGUAUUCGCAGUUUGCAUCGGGUUGGUAAGCCGGGAUGGCCCCCUAGCCGAAACAGUGCUCUACCCCCGGAGAUGAAUUCACGAGGCGCUACCUAAAUAGCUUUCGGGGAGAACCAGCUAUCUCCCGGUUUGAUUGGCCUUUCACCCCCAGCCACAGGUCAUCCGCUAAUUUUUCAACAUUAGUCGGUUCGGUCCUCCAGUUAGUGUUACCCAACCUUCAACCUGCCCAUGGCUAGAUCACCGGGUUUCGGGUCUAUACCCUGCAACUUAACGCCCGGUUAAGACUCGGUUUCCCUCCGGCUCCCCUAUACGGUUAACCUUGCUACAGAAUAUAAGUCGCUGACCCAUUAUACAAAAGGUACGCAGUCACACAGGUAAACCUGUGCUCCCACUGCUUGUACGUACACGGUUUCAGGUUCUUUUUCACUCCCCUCGCCGGGGUUCUUUUCGCCUUUCCCUCACGGUACUGGUUCACUAUCGGUCAGUCAGGAGUAUUUAGCCUUGGAGGAUGGUCCCCCCAUAUUCAGACAGGAUACCACGUGUCCCGCCCUACUCAUCGAGCUCACAGCACAUGCGCUUUUGUGUACGGGGCUGUCACCCUGUAUCGCGCGCCUUUCCAGACGCUUCCACUAACACACAUGCUGAUUCAGGCUCUGGGCUCCUCCCCGUUCGCUCGCCGCUACUGGGGGAAUCUCGGUUGAUUUCUUUUCCUCGGGGUACUUAGAUGUUUCAGUUCCCCCGGUUCGCCUCAUUAACCUAUGGAUUCAGUUAAUGAUAGUGUGACGAAUCACACUGGGUUUCCCCAUUCGGAAAUCGCCGGUUAUAACGGUUCAUAUCACCUUACCGGCGCUUAUCGCAGAUUAGCACGUCCUUCAUCGCCUCUGACUGCCAGGGCAUCCACCGUGUACGCUUAGUCGCUUAACCUCACAACCCGAAGAUGUUUCUUACGAUUCAUCAUCGUGUUGCGAAAAUUUGAGAGACUCACGAACAACUUUCGUUGUUCUGUGUUUCAAUUUUCAGCUUGAUCCAGAUUUUUAAAGAGCAAA